UCACAUAAUUACAUUUAAGUUCCCCGAGAAUUAGUACGAGAUCUAAAUAUGAGGCCCUAAAUAUGGUAUAAACAGAGGGAAUUGAGUGAAUUCUGAGAUGUGAUUUCUCACUGCAUUGUGCCUUUAUUUAUAGUAGUAAGAAAGGUAAAUUCCUUACCUUUUAGGUAUUACAAUACAAUCAGGAAACUAUCUAAAAACAUGUAGAUUCUCAUACUAGGAUUUACACAAUUAUAUUCCUAAACUAAUUAAGACCGGAACACUCCCUUUUAAGUGUGUAAAUACUCAACUAAACGGUGCAUCAGGUCUUAAGUGGCACAAUGAGCAUGCGAGUCUCAAAUCAAUGGAAGAAUAACACAAAAAGGUAAAACUCACGAAACCUCACAAGGGUAUAUUAUUAUAAUAUUUUGAAUGUAUA
Molecule: long non-coding RNA, 415 nt
Filed under: Malus domestica (apple)
Lineage: Eukaryota; Viridiplantae; Streptophyta; Magnoliopsida; Rosales; Rosaceae
Description: long non-coding RNA (MDOM_LNC018844)
Source: RNAcentral